UACAUAGGGGGCUAGCGUUAUCCGGAAUUACUAGGCGUAAAGGGCAGGCAGGCGGAUCCAUAAGUUUAUCGUUUAAGGCGUCGGCUUAACCGGCGUAGGGCGGUAGAUACUGUGGAUCUGGAAUGCGGUUGGGGAAGACAGAAUUCCUGGUGUAGCGGUGGAAUGCGCAGAGAUCAGGAGGAAUACCGAAGGCGAAGGCAGUCUUCCAAGCCGUUAUUGACGCUCAACUGCGAAGGUGUGGGUAUCAAACAGGAUUAGAUACCCGUGUAGUCCCU
Molecule: ribosomal RNA, 275 nt
Filed under: uncultured prokaryote
Description: partial 16S ribosomal RNA
Rfam family: Bacterial small subunit ribosomal RNA
Source: RNAcentral